This 529-nucleotide ribosomal RNA is filed under the name Starmerella sp. RNAcentral describes it as "partial large subunit ribosomal RNA". It matches the Rfam family "Eukaryotic large subunit ribosomal RNA", at positions 37 to 668 of the family's 3401-position model. The record is from RNAcentral. Lineage: Eukaryota; Fungi; Ascomycota; Dipodascomycetes; Dipodascales; Trichomonascaceae.
UGCAUAUCAAAAAGCGGAGGAAAAGAAACCAACAGGGAUUGCUCUAGUAACGGCGAGUGAACAAGCAAAAGCUCAGUUUUGAAAGCCUCUUCGGAGGCAUUGUAUUCUGAAGCCUAGAUUCUGGGAACCGGUACUUAAGUCUUCUGGAAAGGAGCGCCACGGAGGGUGAUAGCCCCGUACGGUACUGACCCCAUUGUAGUUUCUAGGCGUGGAGUCGAGUUGUUUGGGAAUGCAGCUCAAAUGGGAGGUAUGCUCCUUCUAAAGCUAAAUAUUUGCGAGAGACCGAUAGCGAACAAGUACUGUGAAGGAAAGAUGAAAAGAACUUUGAAAAGAGAGUGAAAUAGGACGUGAAAUUGUUGAAAUGGAAGGGUAGGCCGCUAACCAUGUAGGACCGUGUUUGAGGGGAAGAUAAAAGCUUCGGAAUGUGGCUCCUCGGAGUGUUAUAGCCGAAGUCAAUGUUCCCACUCGAUCGCGAGGAUCUCAGGUUCUACUAAAUGGUGGUCUACCACCCGUCUUGAACCACGGACCA